This is a non-coding RNA of Arvicanthis niloticus (Nile rat), 296 nucleotides long. The record is from RefSeq and is a predicted model, not a curated record. NCBI's taxonomy places the organism in Eukaryota, Metazoa, Chordata, Mammalia, Rodentia, Muridae.
CCCUAAAUGGUGCUCAGCCUCCUAGGGGAGUCAGCGCAGCGGCGGGAAGUGCAUCCUGGCGGCCCUGGAACCCCCCAGGUCAGAGGAGAUGGCAGCUGCUCUUAAGGAUGCUGCUCUCACAAUUCUGUAAUGUUACACUCCUGGGCCAGAUCUUCUCACCUGUGAAGCUGAGCAAAGAGCAUUGGAUGGUGAAGAGUGAGGAGAUGGUAGUAAAGGAUCCAGUAUUAGAAGACUCUAUGUGAGUAAGAAUUAAUACUCAGAGGCAAGUAUGGUCUUAUCUGACUUCGUAUGCAAGU